AUGUCGGCUCUUCCUAUCAUUGUGAAGCAUAAUUCACAACGUGUUGGAUUGUUCACCCGUUAAUAGGGAACGUGAGCUGGGUUUAGACCGUCGUGAGACAGGUUAGUUUUACCCUACUGAUGAAUCGAUGUUGCGACAGUAAUCUUACUUAGUACGAGAGGAACCGUUAGAUCAGAUAAUUGGUUAAUACGGUUAGCUGAAAAGCUAAUGCCGUGAAGCUACCAUCUGCUGGAUUAUGACUGAAAGCCUCUAAGUCAGAACCCAUUCUGAAAAGCAACGUUCAACCAAUAAUAAAUGAAAACCAAUAAGGGAAACCUUAAGUUCAGAGGUAUGGCGUUGACACCCGAAAGGGCUUAGACAAAAGUACCAAUCAAUUUCAAUUAUUAUUGUAACAGAUCUUCUGUAGACGACUUAACAUGGAAGGGG
Molecule: ribosomal RNA, 426 nt
Filed under: uncultured eukaryote
Lineage: Eukaryota
Description: eukaryotic LSU rRNA
Rfam family: Eukaryotic large subunit ribosomal RNA
Source: RNAcentral